Molecule: ribosomal RNA, 506 nt
Filed under: uncultured bacterium
Lineage: Bacteria
Description: bacterial SSU rRNA
Rfam family: Bacterial small subunit ribosomal RNA
Source: RNAcentral
AGAGUUUGAUCCUGGCUCAGAUUGAACGCUGGCGGCAUGCUUUACACAUGCAAGUCGAACGGCAGCACGGGGGCAACCCUGGUGGCGAGUGGCGAACGGGUGAGUAAUAUAUCGGAACGUACCCGGAAAUGGGGGAUAACGUAGCGAAAGUUACGCUAAUACCGCAUAUGCCCUAAGGGGGAAAGCGGGGGAUUCGCAAGAACCUCGCGUUUUCGGAGCGGCCGAUAUCGGAUUAGCUAGUAGGUGAGGUAAAGGCUCACCUAGGCGACGAUCCGUAGCUGGUCUGAGAGGACGACCAGCCACACUGGAACUGAGACACGGUCCAGACUCCUACGGGAGGCAGCAGUGGGGAAUUUUGGACAAUGGGCGCAAGCCUGAUCCAGCCAUGCCGCGUGAGUGAAGAAGGCCUUCGGGUUGUAAAGCUCUUUCAGCCGGAAAGAAAACGCACGGGUUAAUAACCUGUGUGGAUGACGGUACCGGAAGAAGAAGCACCGGCUAACUACGUG